RNAcentral lists this non-coding RNA (677 nucleotides) under Stegodyphus mimosarum. Its description in RNAcentral is "eukaryotic small subunit ribosomal RNA". It matches the Rfam family "Eukaryotic small subunit ribosomal RNA", at positions 1 to 1066 of the family's 1831-position model. The record is from Rfam by way of RNAcentral. Lineage: Eukaryota; Metazoa; Arthropoda; Arachnida; Araneae; Eresidae.
UCACUGGUAAGACUGCCAGCUGCUUUAUUCCAUUCAUAUCCAGCUUGUGCUUUAAUUCCGAGUUAGAAUUGGGGAAACUGUUGUUAUGGCACAAAGCUUCUUUUGAAUUUUGAAGCUAACCUCUGAGAUAAUCUAUCUUAAUUGUCAUAUGCACCUUCACUGGAAUGAGUACACUCUAAAUUCUUUAACGUAGAUCCAUUGGAGGGCAAGUCUGAUGCCAGCAGCCGCGGUAAUUCCAGCUCUAAUAGCGUAUGUUAAAGUUGCUGCCGUUAAAAAGCUCGUAGUUGGAACUCAGUUCCAGACGGGUGGUCCGCCUAGCGGUCGUUGCUGCCUGUUCUAAACAGCCAGCCGGUUUCCUUCGAUGACCUUCACCGGUUGUCUAGGGUGACCGACAGGUUUACUUUGGAAAAAUUAGAGUGCUCAAAGCAGGCAUGGUGCCUAAAUAAUGGUGCAUGGAACAAUGGAAUGGGACCUCGGUUCUAUUUUGUUGGAUUUCGGAUUACGAGGUAAUGAUUAAGAGGGACAGACGGGGCAUUCGUAUUGCGACGUUAGAGAUGAAAUUCUUGGACCCUCGCAAGACGAAUUACUGCUGAAGCAUUUGCCAAGAAUAUCUUAAUUAAUCAAGAACAAAAGUUAUCAUCAUUAAAAGAAGACGAUCAGAUUUAAUGAGAUAAUUA